This 258-nucleotide ribosomal RNA is filed under the name uncultured bacterium. Its description in RNAcentral is "partial 16S ribosomal RNA". It matches the Rfam family "Bacterial small subunit ribosomal RNA", at positions 524 to 776 of the family's 1533-position model. The record is from RNAcentral.
UACGUAGGGUGCGAGCGUUGUCCGGAUUUAUUGGGCGUAAAGGGCUCGUAGGCGGCCUGUCGCGUCGGGGAGUGAAAGCCCACUGCUUAACGGUGGGUCUGCUUCCGGUACGGGCGGGCUGGAGUAUGGCAGGGGAGGACUGGAAUUCCUGGUGUAGCGGUGGAAUGCGCAGAUAUCGGGGAAGAACACCCGUGGCGAAGGCGGCUCUCUGGGACGGUACUGACGCUGAGACGGCGGAAAGCGUGGGGAGCGAACAGG